This 85-nucleotide transfer RNA is filed under the name Flammeovirgaceae bacterium 311. Its description in RNAcentral is "tRNA-Leu". It matches the Rfam family "tRNA". Rfam says of the family: Transfer RNA (tRNA) molecules are approximately 80 nucleotides in length. Their secondary structure includes four short double-helical elements and three loops (D, anti-codon, and T loops). Further hydrogen bonds mediate the characteristic L-shaped molecular structure. tRNAs have two regions of fundamental functional importance: the anti-codon, which is responsible for specific mRNA codon recognition, and the 3' end, to which the tRNAs corresponding amino acid is attached (by aminoacyl-tRNA synthetases). tRNAs cope with the degeneracy of the genetic code in two manners: having more than one tRNA (with a specific anti-codon) for a particular amino acid; and 'wobble' base-pairing, i.e. permitting non-standard base-pairing at the 3rd anti-codon position. Lineage: Bacteria; Pseudomonadati; Bacteroidota; Cytophagia; Cytophagales; Flammeovirgaceae. The record is from RNAcentral.
GCCUGAAUGGCGGAACUGGUAGACGCGCACGACUCAAAAUCGUGUUCCUUCGGGAGUGCCGGUUCGAUUCCGGCUUCAGGUACUA